CAGCCGCCGCGGGAAUACGAAGGGUGCAAGCGUUAAUCGGAAUUACUGGGCGUAAAGGGCGUGUAGGCGGCCUGGGGCGUCCCAUGUGAAAGGCCACGGCUCAACCGUGGAGGAGCGUGGGAUACGCUCAGGCUAGAGGGUGGGAGAGGGUGGUGGAAUUCCCGGAGUAGCGGUGAAAUGCGCAGAUACCGGGAGGAACGCCGAUGGCGAAGGCAGCCACCUGGUCCACUUCUGACGCUGAGGCGCGAAAGCGUGGGGAGCAAACCGGAUUAGAUACCCCCGUAGUCCCUGUCUCUUAUAC
This 301-nucleotide ribosomal RNA is filed under the name uncultured bacterium. RNAcentral describes it as "partial 16S ribosomal RNA". It matches the Rfam family "Bacterial small subunit ribosomal RNA", at positions 509 to 807 of the family's 1533-position model. The record is from RNAcentral.